Molecule: long non-coding RNA, 116 nt
Organism: Octopus sinensis (East Asian common octopus)
Lineage: Eukaryota; Metazoa; Mollusca; Cephalopoda; Octopoda; Octopodidae
Exons: 3
Source: RefSeq, a predicted model, not a curated record
GUAUAUAUAUAUAUAUAUAUAUAUAUAUAUAUAUAUAUAUAUGUGUAUAGUUUACUUUUCCGCUUAGGUAAGAUCAACAUAAAAAUUACUCCAUCCAGUAAGAGAUUUUAUUUAAU